This 169-nucleotide ribosomal RNA is filed under the name uncultured bacterium. RNAcentral describes it as "partial 16S ribosomal RNA". It matches the Rfam family "Bacterial small subunit ribosomal RNA", at positions 338 to 524 of the family's 1533-position model. The record is from RNAcentral.
CCUACGGGAGGCAGCAGUGGGGGAUAUUGCACAAUGGAGGAAACUCUGAUGCAGCAACGCCGCGUGAGGGAAGAAGGUUUUCGGAUUGUAAACCUCUGUCCCCGGUGACGAUAAUGACGGUAGCCGAGGAGGAAGCUCCGGCUAACUACGUGCCAGCAGCCGCGGUAAU